This 706-nucleotide ribosomal RNA is filed under the name uncultured Bacteroidales bacterium. RNAcentral's name for it is "bacterial SSU rRNA". It matches the Rfam family "Bacterial small subunit ribosomal RNA", at positions 40 to 733 of the family's 1533-position model. Lineage: Bacteria; Pseudomonadati; Bacteroidota; Bacteroidia; Bacteroidales. The record is from RNAcentral.
CUACAGGCUUAACACAUGCAAGUCGAGGGGCAGCAUGGUCUUAGCUUGCUAAGGCCGAUGGCGACCGGCGCACGGGUGAGUAACACGUAUCCAACCUGCCGUCUACUCUUGGACAGCCUUCUGAAAGGAAGAUUAAUACAAGAUGGCAUCAUGAGUCCGCAUGUUCACGUGAUUAAAGGUAUUCCGGUAGACGAUGGGGAUGCGUUCCAUUAGAUAGUAGGCGGGGUAACGGCCCACCUAGUCUUCGAUGGAUAGGGGUUCUGAGAGGAAGGUCCCCCACAUUGGAACUGAGACACGGUCCAAACUCCUUUACGGGAGGCAGCAGUGAGGAAUAUUGGUCAAUGGGCGAGAGCCUGAACCAGCCAAGUAGCGUGAAGGAUGACUGCCCUAUGGGUUGUAAACUUCUUUUAUAAGGGAAUAAAGUCGGGUAUGUAUACCCGUUUGCAUGUACUUUAUGAAUAAGGAUCGGCUAACUCCGUGCCAGCAGCCGCGGUAAUACGGAGGAUCCGAGCGUUAUCCGGAUUUAUUGGGUUUAAAGGGAGCGUAGAUGGAUGUUUAAGUCAGUUGUGAAAGUUUGCGGCUCAACCGUAAAAUUGCAGUUGAUACUGGAUAUCUUGAGUGCAGUUGAGGCAGGCGGAAUUCGUGGUGUAGCGGUGAAAUGCUUAGAUAUCACGAAGAACUCCGAUUGCGGAGGCAGCCUGCUAAG